AUGCAACUUGAUGAGUCCGUCGAGGACGACAUUAUGUGGAAGCAUACGACUAGUCACUAUUCGGUGACCUCCGCUUAUAAGACGCAAUUCCUUGGCAUGGCCUUCUCUCCUUUGGACCAAAUCGUUUGGAAGGCUUGGGUUCCGUGAAAAGUUAAGUUCUUCACAUGGUUGGCUAUUCAAGAUCGAAUUUGGACGGCCAAUAGGUUGAAAAAGCGGGGAUGGAAUUGUGAGCUUUGCCCUUUCUGCAAGAGAGUACAAGAGUGCGGCACACACCUAUUUUUUAAAUGUUGUUAAACCCUGAGGCUUAUGGGUUUGGUCAUGGAAAAGUUAGGGCUCAAGGAUCUGGGAGUAGCCUCUUGGCAUUUGGAGGGCUCCCUAAAGGAUUGGUGGGCAAGCUAGUAGAACCGGUGCCGGCAUCAAGUAGAUCCGGCUUCGCUUACCAUGCUUGUAUCAUGGACCAUAUGGAAUGAGAGGAACGCAUCCGUAACAAGAGAGCGCCGCCAACAAUUUUGCUAA
Molecule: ribosomal RNA, 516 nt
Filed under: Triticum aestivum (bread wheat)
Lineage: Eukaryota; Viridiplantae; Streptophyta; Magnoliopsida; Poales; Poaceae
Description: partial small subunit ribosomal RNA
Source: RNAcentral